ACUCGAGUCGGUUUUAGGCUUUGCAUUUUGUACUAUCUUUCGCUCUUUAGGGUUUAGAAACUACAUUGGCACUCAAGUCGGCUUUAGGCUUGACAUUUCGUACUAUCUUUUGCUCUCUAGGGUUUUGAAACUACAUUUCUAAGCUAGAUCUACUAUUCUUUUGCAAUAAAUUAAUGCUGAAGUUCAAUCCCCAAAUCAAGAAGUUCUUCUUCUUCAUCUUUUUCUUCUUGUUAGCUUUUAUUAGAGUCUAAAACCAGGAGUUCAAAAUAUUGGAGCCUCUAAAACACAAUUGACUUGAUUGUGAUCAAGUCAAAAUCCUUUUUUUUGGGUUCUAUUUUAUGUUUUUCCACAUUGAUUCCAUCUUGAUUUAUGUAAGAGAUUAGUGAUUUUGGAUCGUUCAAAACAUGAUCGACUCAAUUGAGGUCAAAGCUUGAAAUCAAGGCUUCAAAGGAAUGGAGUCUAGAAAACACGAUCUACUUGAUUUUGAGCUUGACACCAAGGCUUCAAAGGAAUGGAGUCUAGAAAACACCAUCUACUUGAUUGUGGUUUUUAAGCAGGAUAAAUUUAUAUAGAGAUCAAGAAUCUAUUUGGAUACUAGAAGCAAGGUCUCUCCGGCAUCUACAUGCAAAACGAGCAGUUCAAAUUAUCAUGAAAAAUAUCAAGAAUCUUGUUGCUUUUGUUCUUCCUUUCCUCCUUCUCGACUUCCAAUGACCCUAAGCCACCACUCACAAGCUAUUGUCGUUUCUGGGCCUUCUCUUGCUCGGAGAGUGAUCGGUUAGACUUGAUCACCCGAAUCAUUGUGAUCAGGUCGCCGCUAGGUGACUUGGCUUCGACACAAACUAGUGCCAGAUUGGGAUCGGCGGGAAGGGAGCAACAGUCGGGGCACUCCCACCGAAGAGCAUCGGCUAGCAUUUGGGGAUGAAGGAGGGAAAGACAUUGCACAUGCCAGGGAGUGGCACAUGUCUGGCAAGCGAGGAUGUCCUCAAGCGACGGCUUCUCCUCGCAGAUCAUGCAAAUGUCGUUGCCAUCGUAGGGGAGUUCUCUAUCAUGUGCCAUGGGAGCAAACGAUAAGCAGGGAUGUUCAAGGAUGGUGAUUGCGAGUAAUUAGCUAAGUAGGGUUUGAUGGGAAAUACAAAACUGCAUGUGAUUAUUAUAUAUACUAUUGCGACAGUGGUGAUGAAUGAAGAUGAGGACAAGAGGUGGAGAUUUGGAAAAAUAUAUAAGGUUUUUUGUUUUUAUUUUUCUUCUUUUUUCCUAUUUAACUUUUUUUAAAAAUUUUUAUUUUAUUUAGGUGACAUUUACAAUGCAUUAUCAUUGAUAAGAUGUGAACAAAGUGUGAACGCAA
This is a long non-coding RNA of Malania oleifera, 1345 nucleotides long. RefSeq lists it as uncharacterized. NCBI's taxonomy places the organism in Eukaryota, Viridiplantae, Streptophyta, Magnoliopsida, Santalales, Ximeniaceae. The transcript has 5 exons. The record is from RefSeq and is a predicted model, not a curated record.